This is a small nuclear RNA of Phyllostomus discolor (pale spear-nosed bat), 125 nucleotides long. The record is from RefSeq and is a predicted model, not a curated record. Lineage: Eukaryota; Metazoa; Chordata; Mammalia; Chiroptera; Phyllostomidae.
GUGUUUUAUGAAAGUGAAGAAUUAGGUUAGCACUGAUCUUGACAAGAAGGGAAAGAAUUCCAGUGACACCAGACACAUACAUUUAAGGUAUCACCGCCUCUUUAGAGCACCUACCAGAACUUUUU